Long non-coding RNA from Anolis carolinensis (green anole), 2875 nucleotides. NCBI's taxonomy places the organism in Eukaryota, Metazoa, Chordata, Lepidosauria, Squamata, Anolidae. The record is from Ensembl.
UAUCCUGCUUAGAUUUGCCUCUCCUGCACGGUUAAGUUUCCGUUUUCUGAAAUCCCUGGAGCCAGAAGUACACUGGAUUUUGGAAUACCUGUACAGUAGAGUCUCACUUAUCCAACAUUCGCUUAUCCAACGUUCUGGAUUAUCCAACGCAUUUUUGUAGUCAAUGUUUUCAAUAUAUCGUGAUAUUUUGGUGCUAAAUUCAUAAAUACAGUGAUUACUACAUAGCAUUACUGCAUAUUGAACUACUUUUUCUGCCAAAUUUGUUUGGCUAACAUGAUGUUUUGGUGCUUCAUUUGUAAAAUCAUAACCUAAUUUGAUGUUGAAUAGGCUUUUCCUUAAUGCCUUAAUAUUAUCCAACAUAUUUGCUUAUCCAACAUUCUGCCGGCCCGUUUAUGUUGGAUAAGUGAGACUCUACUGUAUUUGCAUAUAUGUUAAUGAUCUUGGAGAUGGGACCCAAAUCUAACCAGUAGAUUAUGUUUUAUGUACAUCACAUUCACAUAACUGGAAUGUAAUCUUGCUCAAUAUGUUGGGCAUGAACUAAAGUUUGUGCGUUUUGAACACUCAGUAGGCUAAGGUGCCACCAUCUCAGCCAUUGUGGAUUUUGGAGGAUUUGGGGAUUCUGCACAAGGGGUGCUCAGCCUAGGGGGAGGAGGAAUAUUGUUCCGGCAAUAAACAGUCUAUUUUAAGAUCAAUACUAGGUUUGGGAGCCAGAGUAGUGUAGUGGUCUGGGGAUUGGAUGCUUGGCUCAAAAAACUUACUGGAUGAUUGAUCUCUAUUCUACUUUCUCCAUUUGCUAAUAUCUCCUUAUGGAACUCUGGCAGAUCUAGAAGCAGCCUGUCUCCUUCACUUGGCUCUUCAGGAUAGCAUUUGAUAUGGCAAGUGGCAUAUACAUUGGUUAAAUAUUGAUUAAUAAUAACUCUGGCUUACAGGUAGCUUGCUGAAGGAAGAAAAUGGGGAGUGAAAAUAUUCCAGCUCUUUUAAGGCCUUUGGCACCUGAAGAAGCCGAGGCUGCAAAAGACUUGCCAGAACUCCAACUUGAUGCAGCAUCUUGGUUGGAAGGAGGACAAGUGUGGGUCCUUGAACUUGAGCCUUAUCAGCCUGAACCAUCUUCAGGUGAGUCUGUGGCCAGGGCGCUUUUCAAAUAUUAAAGAUAGAUUACAAGUUGUAUUGUACACUCUUUGAGAUAGAAGGGGCUUCAAGGGCCUAUUUGCAUGCAGAAAAUCUUUCUAUCAGAGUUAGUUUUUCUGUGACUUGGAAUGCAUCUACACUGUAAAAUAAUUGCAGUUUGGCACAACUUUAGCUAUCCUGGCUCAAUGCUAUGGAAUCACGGUAGGUAGUAGUGAGGCACCAGUGAGGCACUAUUUAUCAGAGAAGGCAACAGACCUUGUAUAACUACUUGCCUCAUGAUUCCAGAGCAUUGAGCCAUGGCAAUUAAAGUGGGAUCAAACUGGAUUAAUUCUGCAGUGUAGCUGAACCCAUUGAUAUUUUGAAGGAUGUUUCAAAGCAAUGUUUUCCUGCUAGUACAUUAUUAUUAUUAUUAUUAUUAUUAUCAUCCCAUUUUUCAACCUACAUGGGGGUGGAGGUGGGAUGACGUGAAGUGAUGUGGUAUCAAGAGGACUUAACUUGCCUGAUCUUAUUCCUUAGAUUAAGCUUGCUGCUGUUACCUUCCAUGGUUCUUCAUCUCUGACAUAAUAAUCAAUGUCGCAUCCUUGUUAUCCUGGGCAGAUGUUGGAGAAAGGCUUUUUUUCGUGUCAGGAGCUACUUGAGAACCUGCAAGUUGCUUCUGAUUUGAGUGAAUUGGCCAUCUGCAAGGACAUUGCCCAGGGGACGCCCAAAUGUUUGAUGUUUUACCAUCCUGUGUGAGGCUUCUCUCAUGUCCCCGCAUGGGGAGGUGGAGCUGACAGAGGGAGCUCAUAUGUGCUCUCCUCGGAUUCGAACUGCCGACCUGUCAGUCUGCAGUCCUGCCGGCAUAAGGGUUUAAACCAGUGGUUCCCAAACUUAUUUGGCCUACUGCCCCCUUUCCAGAAAAAAUAUUACUCAGCGCCCUGGAAAUUAUUUUUUAAAAAGUUUUAAUAGCAAUUAAACAGAAAAUAUAUGUACCUGUGGCCAUCACCGCUCCCCUGGAUUGCUGCAGCGCCCACCAGGGGGCAGUAGCGUCCACUUUGGGAAUCAUUGGUUUAAACUAUUGUACCAUUGGGGGCUCCAUAGAAAGGCUAAUAUGUGAAGGAGAAAAUGCAAUCCCUCCACAUUCACUAGGGUAAGGGGUACAUGACACUUGCAAAAGUGAACGAAGCCACUGUUUUGACUUGAGUGAACAACUCUCUAGGCAUUUCUAAGUCCUCCAGUGUGACAAUGGUGAACUUCAGGUGGAAGUUGGCCAUAUAAUUAUGCUGGAGGGCCUACAAAUGGCUAAAGACAUUUACAACUCUGUGGUUAACUUCUGGUGGAAGGUGAUCAUAAAGACAUGUUGGAGAUUCCUCUAGAGAGCAUAUUAAUAGAAUCUCUGAAUAAUCAAAUCCACGAAAGUCAAACCCACAAAUGUGGAGGGCUAAGCAUAUCACAGCUCUAAGGGAUGUAAAAAGCAUUUAGAUCCCAUGGUUCCCCAGUUCAACCACAGAUUAUAAUUUUGCAUUGCAGAAGGCAGUUUGAUGUCUAGACUUCCCUGGAAUCCUUUAGACAGAAAUUCAUUUCAUUUGCUUUUCUAUCUCAGCAGGUGGUGAAAAUUUAGAGGAAAUACGUCAGUUGGCGAGUACUGAGAGAACAGAUUCAGAGAAUCUGGAAAAUGGAGUUGCAGAUUCAGAAUCCCAGACAUAUGAAGACAAGACAGUCCCAUUGGCCAGUCAACAGGGCACGGAAACUUCUAUAGGUGAUGGGG